Molecule: long non-coding RNA, 512 nt
Organism: Eptesicus fuscus (big brown bat)
Lineage: Eukaryota; Metazoa; Chordata; Mammalia; Chiroptera; Vespertilionidae
Exons: 5
Source: RefSeq, a predicted model, not a curated record
GUCAAGAUACAGAACAUUUUCAGCACCCCAGAAAAUUUCCUCCUUCUUUACACUUCUGGUCAGUUUUCAUCCCACUUCCAACCUGAAGGCUGUGGAUGGAAUGUCUUGCAAAUGGAGUUGACUUCAUAUUAGAAUUACCUGCAAACUCCACAAACAAUAGAGAAACUGAGUCCUGAAAGGUUGCAACAUCCUCGAAGAACUAAAGUAGCAUAUGGCUUAUUCAGGAGGUAAAGAUGAGAACAGCUUCUAACUUGGUUGGUGCCCUGUUGAAGAAAAAUGCUUUUGCUCAGCUUGGAAUGAAAUGCAGAUAACCCUUCAGAAAACUUUUGUAGGAAAGCACCUCGUGUGAUCUGGAACAAAGACAUUAUAUAAUCAGAUUUAUCAAGCUGUGAAGAGGCAGUGUUAGCGAACAGAAGCAGCAUUCUGUCACCAGGAAAUACUGCUUUAUCCAGAAUUGAGCUCCUGUCCAGAAGCUCUGCUGAUCAUCUAACUGCUGGAAUGUGUAGGUGCCC